GACGAACGCUGGCGGCGUGCCUAAUGCAUGCAAGUCGCACGCGGCACCUUCGGGUGCUGAGUGGCGAACGGCUGAGGAACACGUGGGGACCUGUCCGGGAGUGGGGGACAACACCGCGAAAGCGGUGCUAAUCCCGCACACGCUCUGAGGAGGAAAGCCGAAAGGCGCUCCCGGGUGGCCCUGCGGCCCAUCAGGUUGUUGGUGGGGUAACGGCCUACCAAGCCAAUGACGGAUCGCUGGUCUGUGAGGACGACCAGCCAGACUGGGACUGGGACACGGCCCAGACUCCUACGGGAGGCAGCAGCAAGGAAUUUUCGGCAAUGGGCGCAAGCCUGACCGAGCAACGCCGCGUGCAGGAAGACGGCCUUCGGGUUGGAAACUGCUUUUGCUAGGGAUGAUAACAGACAGUACCUGGCGAAUCAGCCCCGGCUAACUCGGUG
Molecule: ribosomal RNA, 440 nt
Filed under: uncultured bacterium
Lineage: Bacteria
Description: partial 16S ribosomal RNA
Rfam family: Bacterial small subunit ribosomal RNA
Source: RNAcentral